GCGUGGCAGUUGUGGCCUCAAGAAACAGACGUUUGAGGCUUCUCACUGUCCUGGAACUUGUGAAAUACACAAGGCUCGCUGCCCAGAAAACCCCAGAGACCUGCUUGUCUCUACUUCGCCAGAGCUGGAACUUUGAGCAAGGACAGCUUCUCUCACGUGGUGUCUGGGCAUUGACUUCAGGAGCUGGAGAUGGAAGCUGUCCACAAACUCAGAAGCCACAUGAGGACACGGAUGUUCGUGCACUGCCCACUUUCAUGGGUUUGGAAAGCAGAAAUGCCAGGCUAACGUGUUCAUCCUUGGGGAGAGUCUAGAUUGAAUGUCAGGACACCGUGACAGGACAUUCUACACACGAGGGUGCUUUCCCACCACCCACCCAUUUCUGCCCCACUGCCUUAGCACUCCUCUACACUGGGGAAUCAAGCCUUCACAGGACCAAGGGCCUUCCCUCCCAUUGAUGCUAGCCUUCAGAUGAAGACAUAGAACUCUCAGCUCCUCCUGCACCAUGCCUGCCUAGAUGCUGCCGUGCUCUCACCUUGAUGAUAAUGGAGUGAACCUCUGAACCUGAAAGCCAGCUCCAAUUAAAUG
Molecule: long non-coding RNA, 585 nt
Filed under: Mus pahari (shrew mouse)
Lineage: Eukaryota; Metazoa; Chordata; Mammalia; Rodentia; Muridae
Description: lncRNA (MGP_PahariEiJ_G0004752.1)
Source: RNAcentral